This 274-nucleotide ribosomal RNA is filed under the name uncultured bacterium. Its description in RNAcentral is "partial 16S ribosomal RNA". It matches the Rfam family "Bacterial small subunit ribosomal RNA", at positions 523 to 796 of the family's 1533-position model. The record is from RNAcentral.
AUACGGAGGGUGCAAGCGUUAAUCGGAAUUACUGGGCGUAAAGCGUACGUAGGCGGUUCGUUAAGUUAGAUGUGAAAGCCCCGGGCUUAACCUGGGAACUGCAUUUAAAACUGGCGAACUAGAGUUGAGUAGAGGGGAGUGGAAUUUCAGGUGUGGCGGUGAAAUGCGUAGAGAUCUGAAGGAACACCAGUGGCGAAGGCGACUCCCUGGACUCGAACUGACGCUGAGGUACGAAAGCGUGGGUAGCAAACGGGAUUAGAAACCCUAGUAGUCC